RNAcentral lists this ribosomal RNA (460 nucleotides) under uncultured bacterium. RNAcentral describes it as "partial 16S ribosomal RNA". It matches the Rfam family "Bacterial small subunit ribosomal RNA", at positions 338 to 795 of the family's 1533-position model. The record is from RNAcentral.
CCUACGGGGGGCAGCAGUGAGGAAUAUUGGUCAAUGGGCGUAAGCCUGAACCAGCCAAGUCGCGUGAGGGAUGAAGGUUCUAUGGAUCGUAAACCUCUUUUAUAAGGGAAUAAAGUGUGGGACGUGUCCUGUUUUGUAUGUACCUUAUGAAUAAGGAUCGGCUAACUCCGUGCCAGCAGCCGCGGUAAUACGGAGGAUCCGAGCGUUAUCCGGAUUUAUUGGGUGUAAAGGGUGCGUAGGCGGCCUUUUAAGUCAGCGGUGAAAGUCUGUGGCUCAACCAUAGAAUUGCCGUUGAAACUGGGAGGCUUGAGUAUGUUUGAGGCAGGCGGAAUGCGUGGUGUAGCGGUGAAAUGCUUAGAUAUCACGCAGAACCCCGAUUGCGAAGGCAGCCUGCCAAGCCAUGACUGACGCCGAUGCACGAAAGCGUGGGGAUCAAACAGGAUUAGAUACCCCAGUAGUC